AUCAGGUAGACAGCAAGAGAGGCGACAACAACAUGGGCCAACAGAAUUAGAGGACUUCCAGCGACCACACUCGCAUCGACAACCUACUCCAUAAAGCUAGCCUUGUGCAGCCAGCCGAAGCCUUUGGAGGAGGAGACGUGGCUGAAUUCAUCAAACGAACUGCAGCUCUCCUGCCCAUUGGAGCCUCGCACGUUAUCUCCGAAACGGCUCUUAGUGGCCGGCGACACCGAACGCAGCCAUCUGAUACAGAUGACAACAACACACUGCCUCCUCUUAACGAGACUUCUGGAGAAGCAUCAGCAGUCAUACGACCUAACUCCACACAGCAGCAACACAAAAGUGUCCCACUUCAUUUGGAGAAGAAUGAUACUUCACCUGUCCACCAGCAGCACCUGGAGAAGGGUGAUGACUUACCUGUUCUCCAGCAGCACCUGGAGAAGAAUGAAACCACACCUGUUCACCAGCAGCACCUGGAGAAGGGUGAUGACUUACCUGUUCUCCAGCAGCACCUGGAGAAGAAUGAAACCACACCUGUUCACCAGCAGCACCUGGAGAAGGGUGAUGACUUACCUGUUCUCCAGCAGCACCUGGAGAAGAAUGAAACUACACCUGUUCACCAGCAGCACCUGGAGAAGGAUGGGAUGUCCGAUUCUUUUCAUCAGCAGCAACAGAAG
Cherax quadricarinatus is the source of this 674-nucleotide non-coding RNA. The record is from RefSeq and is a predicted model, not a curated record. Lineage: Eukaryota; Metazoa; Arthropoda; Malacostraca; Decapoda; Parastacidae.